This is a long non-coding RNA of Felis catus (domestic cat), 601 nucleotides long. RefSeq lists it as uncharacterized. Lineage: Eukaryota; Metazoa; Chordata; Mammalia; Carnivora; Felidae. The record is from RefSeq and is a predicted model, not a curated record. The transcript is spliced from 3 exons.
CCCCACUCCGCCAAUCUGGGCCGUCCUGGCUGGCUUCUAGCUCCCUGUGGUUUCUGGAAGGCUGAGAGCCGACAGACAGCAGACCGAGGCGGGCGUCAGGGAUGCAGCCUCUCUCGGCUUGAUGCUGGCCGGAACAGGUCUUUUGUCGGCCAUCGUCGUGCCUGGAACCCAGAACUGGGGGCGCAGAGAAAGCAAAACAACCAGGAUAGAUGUGGCUUGGAAGGGUACAAAACAAAAAACCGGAAAGAGCGGACCUGACUUGCUGAAGCUCACACAACCAGCAACUGAGCCAGGAUUCGAACCUCUGUCAUUCUGACUCCCUGACCUGCUUUAUUUCUGCUCUGUUCCACUUGGCUCACAAAUCGUCUUCCUCGUGAACUCCUAUUCAUCCUUCAAAACCCAAUGUAAACGUGUUCUCUCUUAUGUGAAGCCUGCCCCCCUCAUUCUCUCCAUCCACCUCACCCAGGCAAGGUUAGUCAUUAUUAGAAUUCUAAAUGAAGUUCUUUUUUUUUUUUUUAACGUUUAUUUAUUUUUGAGAGACAGAGCGCGAGCAGGAGAGGGGCAGAGGGAGAGAGAGGGAGACACAGAAUCCGAAGCAGGC